This 500-nucleotide ribosomal RNA is filed under the name uncultured cyanobacterium. Its description in RNAcentral is "bacterial SSU rRNA". It matches the Rfam family "Bacterial small subunit ribosomal RNA", at positions 356 to 869 of the family's 1533-position model. The record is from RNAcentral. Lineage: Bacteria; Bacillati; Cyanobacteriota.
GGGGAAUCUUCCGCAAUGGGCGCAAGCCUGACGGAGCAAGACCGCGUGAGGGAAGAAGGUCUGUGGAUUGUAAACCUCUUUUGAUAGGGAAGAAGACAGUGACGGUACCUAUCGAAUCAGCCUCGGCUAACUCCGUGCCAGCAGCCGCGGUAAUACGGAGGAGGCAAGCGUUAUCCGGAAUUAUUGGGCGUAAAGAGUCCGUAGGUGGGUAACCAAGUCAGCUGUUAAAUAGUGAAGCUUAACUUCAUAGAGGCGGCUGAAACUGGUUGUCUAGAGUGUGGUAGGGGUAGAGGGAAUUUCCAGUGUAGCGGUGAAAUGCGUAGAUAUUGGAAAGAACACCGGUGGCGAAAGCGCUCUACUGGGCCUGCACUGACACUGAGGGACGAAAGCUAGGGGAGCGAAAGGGAUUAGAUACCCCUGUAGUCCUAGCCGUAAACGAUGGAUACUAGGCGUUGCCCGUAUCGACCCGGGCAGUGUCGUAGCCAACGCGUUAAGUAUCC